UGGGGAAUUUUGGACAAUGGGGGCAACCCUGAUCCAGCCAUGCCGCGUGCGGGAAGAAGGCCUUCGGGUUGUAAACCGCUUUUAGCCGGGAAGAAAAGGCGCGGGCUAAUACCCUGUGUUUUUGACGGUACCGGCGGAAUAAGCACCGGCUAACUACGUGCCAGCAGCCGCGGUAAUACGUAGGGUGCGAGCGUUAAUCGGAAUUACUGGGCGUAAAGCGUGCGCAGGCGGUUCGUUGUGUCGGCGGUGAAAGCCCCGGGCUUAACCUGGGAAUGGCCGUUGAAACUGGCGAACUGGAGUGUGGCAGAGGGGGGUGGAAUUCCGCGUGUAGCAGUGAAAUGCGUAGAGAUGCGGAGGAACACCGAUGGCGAAGGCAGCCCCCUGGGCUAACACUGACGCUCAGGCACGAAAGCGUGGGGAGCAAACAGGAUUAGAUACCCUGGUAGUCCACGCCCUAAACCAUGUCAACUGGGUGUUCGGGAAGCGAUUUCUGAGUACCGUAGCUAACGCGUGAAGUUGACCGCCUGGGGAGUACGGCCGCAAGGUUAA
RNAcentral lists this ribosomal RNA (549 nucleotides) under uncultured beta proteobacterium. RNAcentral describes it as "bacterial SSU rRNA". It matches the Rfam family "Bacterial small subunit ribosomal RNA", at positions 355 to 897 of the family's 1533-position model. The record is from RNAcentral. Lineage: Bacteria; Pseudomonadati; Pseudomonadota; Betaproteobacteria.